CCGUGACUUCCCUCCCCUCCUCUGCCCCACCUCGUGUUUCCCCUGCUCUGGGACAUCCGUGACCUCACGGCUCCCUCCGAAGGAACCGGUCAGGAGGCACCCGGGAAGGCGGCACUUGUUUGGUGGAGGUGGCAAGGCUGCUGGAAAUCCCAUUUUAAACCCCUGGAUUGACACAAUGUCACUUUGUGCCGCUGCGCUGUUGCCCCAGGAGGAUUUUGGCCGGCUCUGCCUGCAGGGAUGCUGGAGAAAGGAGCAAUGGGAAAAGGGAAUUCCUGGCACAAAUCUGUGGCUCUGCAGGGAGGGCAGAACUUGCCGAGGGGUUGGGGACAUCAGCAGCCCCCAGGGGACACAAUUCGGGUUUCCCCUGUCCCCUUGCAGAUCUGGAUUAUUCCAGCUUUGUGCCCCCCCAGGUGUGUGAUAACCACUGACAUCACAUUUAUCCACAUCUAUCUUAUGAUUUCUGAUUUCCAAAUAGGAUUUUUGGCAGAUCGUCUUCUGGCCCUCCUUUGCAACUGCUCAAAAUUUGGUGUGGACAGCAAUUACUGUCGAAAUAAAUGGAAUUUAAUGGGAUAAUUAUGGUUUAAAACCUGUGUGUGCUCGAGUGAAGUGGACAAAUUGAUUAUUUAUAAACACAUUGUGUGUUUAAUUCCUGAUUUAUGAUCUGUUUCCAUGAAACUUUCAGGGGCAGGGAAUUGCAUGGCACAGUGGAUAUUUGGUUGAUAAAAGCUGUGGCUUUUAUAUUCAUCAUCAUUAAUCAAUUUUACUGGAAAACAGAGCUGCAGGUCAUGAAUUUAAAGCAACUGGGUUGAAAAAUAAAACUCUUGCUGGAUUAAAAAAUCCAGGUUAAGAAAGAUGUGUUGGAAAAGUAAGUUUGGUUUGAAAGUUGUGCCUUCAGUUCCACACACCCAAACCUGAGGGUGAAAUAACUCCGGGGAAAAUCUGAUUCCAGAGGGAAAAGCCCAUCCCUGAGCAUGGAAAACAGGACUCCAGAGAUUUUUGUGCCAUCUGCUGUCAAGUGAAUGAAUUUCAGCCUCAGAAAAAGAGAAAUGCAGCUCAGAAUUCCACCACACUCCAGAGGAAAUCUGGAAUAGGAAGGGUGCUUGGCAUCUUUAUUAAAUCACCUACGAGAUAUUUUUGUCUGACUUCUGAGAAUUCCAUUUAAUGUGAGAAGCAAAUUAAAAUGCAGUGGUUGUUUUAACAGUUGUUAGCACUCAAAACUGAGAUUAAAAACAACCACCCACCCCCCCUGCCUGCCCCACUCCCAAAAUAAAAAAAUACAGAUGUCACGGGUAAUUACAGCUAUUUUUGGCAAUACAAUUAUUGGGAUUUUUUUUAAACAGCAAACAUUUUUUUUUUUCUUCUCAAAUAAAUACAAUCUGCUCACACUAAAUAAAAAACAAAAACCAUUAUAAACAGAAUGAUACAACAGGUUGAAAAUGAAACAACAACAACAACAAAAAAGGAGCUGUUGAUAACAUCAAAUGUGAAGAGAUGUCAUGGAGAGAAAGAAAAUACAUUUCAUACGUUCAGAAAAUACAUUUUAAUGGGACACAAUAAAGGAACUGGCUGAGUAUUUUCUGUUGUGGGUCAUGAAGAUUCCCUGGGGAGCAAAUUUGAGGAAGUGAGGAGCAGCAAGAAGUGAUUUAGCAGCCAAUCCCAGCCACCCUUAAUGACAUUUCUUUUGUUCAUUCAUCUCCAUCCCAAGCACUCCUAUUUAUGACUUCAAAAUCGUUUCCUCUGUGCCUCUUUUUAAAGAAACAAACCCAAACCACAAACCCAAGCCGUUAUUUAGGGAUAAAAAUCACAAAUCUCAUUAAAUUAACUAGAAUUUAAUAGCAGAAGGAGGUUCCUGGCCUCAGCCAGCUUCUGGCUGAAACUGCUCAGUCCGAGUGAAAAGGGAAAUACCAAUUUUUUACUGAAGUUAUCACGGUCUGGAUCCUCAUUUUGCAUAAAAAGGCAAAGCUCUGUCGAUUUGAGUGUAAUGCUAAUUUAAUUCUUGUCUUUUUCUAAGCCAUACAUUGCGAAUGAUGAAAAUGAACCAUUUAUUCUUGGCAGGUUUGCAGCUUUUUGCCUUAAUUGUGGAGAGAAGGAAAAACCUGGGAAGAGCUGUUAGAAUAAAACUUGGGGUCUGCCACAGCUCACAGUGAAGGAAAAGAUUUUGGAGAGAUCAAGUUUAAUGUUCUGGGUCAAAACACUGGAGAGACAUUAAAUCCACAGGAAUGAGCAGCAGUGGGGUGAAAUUCUUUUGUUUUCUUAACCUCUCAAUUACAAAUUUAAAUGGAACAACUUUUUUCUCUUUUCUUCCCCCCCCAAAAGCCUUUUCAACACGAGACUGCUUAACACAAAACCCCCAAGAAAACUGAAAAUUCUGAGGAAAAUAAGAUUUUUCUCCCUGUGAUUCUUGACACUGAAUUCGAGACAAUACUACAAUUGUCAAAAUAUUUCCCAAACAUCCAAAAAUAUAUAUAUAUAUAUUUAAAGAAGAGUAUUUUAAUAUCUACCUCCUCAACCAGAACAUUUUUUUCUCUAUUACUAUAUCAAAGAGCAGCUGACACCACUCAAAUUGUGCACUCAGCUUUUUCCCCCUCUCUGUUUCAUGUUUCAUGUGUUUAACUCCAGCAGGAUCUGAGCAGCCUCCACUCUUUCUACAGGCAACAAAUAUUAGACUAUAACAAUAUUUCUUGCCUCAAUUUGCACCUUGCUGGCAUGAAACAAAAAAUCUGGAGAAUUCACACGCCUCAGCAACCAAAAUUUUUGUGUGUGUUUGAUUGUCAAAUAUUUAAUUUUUUUUAAUUUUUUUUUUUUUUUCAUGGAGGAAAACAAGCCAGAAAUGCUCUUCAGAAUGUCUGUACACAGCCAAAAAA
Cyanistes caeruleus (blue tit) is the source of this 2864-nucleotide non-coding RNA. The record is from RefSeq and is a predicted model, not a curated record. NCBI's taxonomy places the organism in Eukaryota, Metazoa, Chordata, Aves, Passeriformes, Paridae.